AUGUCGUGGGUCUCUGGGACAAGGAAGUUCACAGUCCUGGAUGGAAGAAGGGGAACAUCUGCCAAUUUUGCACCAUCAUCUGCCAGAAAUUCCAAGCAACCACAGAGAAAGGAUGUAAUGGAAGGAUGGAAAGGUAUUGAGCCAAGAUCCAGAAUUCUAAUCACAGAGAGAAGCAGUAUCAAACGUUCUCCAAGCUCAGACUUACUUGUUCCCAUCUUGGCAUGUGAGCCACAUAAACCUAUAGGCAAGCCUGGAAGAUAUCAGCCUUCUUGGACCUCCCAUGGAAGAUCCCUGCUAUACAUCUUCAACAGCUGCACACCAUCAGGACAAGUUCUUCAUAGUGAGACAUCGUCAGCUGCCCAUAAACUGAGACCUCUUCUAGACCCAAUAGGUUCAGGAACAGCUCAGUUACUUUUGAGAACUGGCAAAAAGGACAAAUAUGGAUUAGUGAACAGAGCAUGGGAUUAGGUUGUGACCUGCAUUUUAGUUCAGGCUCUCCCACUAACUUGCUGGGUGACUUUGGACAAGUGGCAACUUCCCUUGGCCUAUGUUCCUUGUUUUCUCAUCUUAGUAUACAGAUAAUAAAUAUUACUUUCUCUGGCUAACCUGUCAGGGCUCUUUAAUUGUUACAAAACAAAAAUGUAUAGCAUACAUAGAAACAUGGAAAAAUUACAGUGGGAAAAAUAUUUAAAAUUAUUUUAAGAAAGC
Molecule: long non-coding RNA, 708 nt
Filed under: Pan troglodytes (chimpanzee)
Lineage: Eukaryota; Metazoa; Chordata; Mammalia; Primates; Hominidae
Description: lncRNA (ENSPTRG00000053881.1)
Source: RNAcentral